CUGGAUGUGGGCCGGCGUCCUGGAGACCGGCCCAACCUUUGUGGUUGCAAGUUCUGCCCUGUGCGAUGUUCAAAAAACGUCCUAGGCGCCAUCUUGUGACGUCAGGUCGCCCCUCAGCCUGACUGCUCGGAAGCGGGGCUAGAUCCGACCAGUUCCGUCCUAACCCGUCGCCAUUAAAGGAGUGUUUCCGCCUCAUCCACAUCUCCACCUCUAUACACAAUAUAAGAUGGAGCUUGUUGCGGCAUACAUUUUCAAUCGCAGACUGUGCAGGGAAAGGAGAUAUUGGGACCCAGUCGACCCACUACAUGUCAGUGAUGAACACCUGUUGCAGGUGUAUAGAUUUCCCCGUCAGGAAAUCAUCAGGCUCUGCGAUGAGCUGCGCCCCCACCUGGAAAGGAGAACCAGGAGGGCACAUGCACUCCCAACACACACCCAGGAGACACUGCGUAUCCUCUGGAGCCAUUCCUGAUGACCCCAGUUGCACGCCUGACAACACCUGGGGAGGAACGAUACAACAAGUCCUCGCAGGACAAGAUGCGUUGUCGAACGGACCUUUGGGAUCCUCAAGUCAAGGUGCAGGUGCCUACAUAAGUCAGGAGGAAGUUUGCAGUAUGACCCCAAGAAGACUAUGAAGAUUGCGACUUCUUGUAUGCUCCUGUACAACUACUGAGUGGAUCGCUGCAGAAGAAGUACCAGUUCAGCCUGUGAGAAACAACAGACAGAUUCCUGGUCAAGUUGUCAGGCAGGA
Long non-coding RNA from Eriocheir sinensis (Chinese mitten crab), 748 nucleotides. RefSeq lists it as uncharacterized. Lineage: Eukaryota; Metazoa; Arthropoda; Malacostraca; Decapoda; Varunidae. The transcript is spliced from 3 exons. The record is from RefSeq and is a predicted model, not a curated record.